Long non-coding RNA from Manis pentadactyla (Chinese pangolin), 626 nucleotides. RefSeq lists it as uncharacterized. NCBI's taxonomy places the organism in Eukaryota, Metazoa, Chordata, Mammalia, Pholidota, Manidae. The transcript has 3 exons. The record is from RefSeq and is a predicted model, not a curated record.
UAGGCUUGUUCGGAAGAGGCUCACUGAAAUGGUUUGCUCCAGGGGAAGUUAGCUGCCAUGUUGUGAGGUAGCUCACCUAGCUCUCUGGAGAAGAAAUGAAAGCCACCUGGGGAGGAACCAAAGCCUCCUCUCAACAGACAUCAACUUCGAGCUUCAUGACACCUUGGCGAGGGAGGCCCUCCAGCCCCAGCCAAGCCCUCAGAUGCCAGUAGCCUAGCUGACACUAACUGCAACCUCAUGGGAGAGGAGUGUGGCUAAGACCCCAAAGGUGGAGGACAAAACCUUAGCUGCCGAGUACCUCACAUCCUAAAGCCAGGGCUCAGCCCUGUGCUGUUCUGUAGGGCAGCUACCAGCUGCAUGGGGCUACCGAGCCCGGCACGUGGCUCAGUCCCUGCUGAGAGGCACUGUCUGGACUCAAAUAUGGCUUUCUCAACCUGACUAGGAUUAUAACCUGCUCCUCCUAGCUGCUGACUGUGAACGAGCAUGCUGGGCAUUUCACUGCUUAUUGCCGCUCCACCUCCGGGAAGGUCAGAGCCUGUGGUCUGGAAAUGCCCACAGAAGUGGGGCAGGCAUGUGAACACUGCUGGGAUUAAAGUAAGAACUGGUAUCCUGGACCUUAAAACAAC